RNAcentral lists this ribosomal RNA (433 nucleotides) under uncultured bacterium. RNAcentral's name for it is "partial 16S ribosomal RNA". It matches the Rfam family "Bacterial small subunit ribosomal RNA", at positions 29 to 507 of the family's 1533-position model. The record is from RNAcentral.
AACGAACGCUGGCGGCAUGCCUAACACAUGCAAGUCGAACGAGACCUUCGGGUCUAGUGGCGCACGGGUGCGUAACGCGUGGGAACCUGCCCUUAGGUUCGGAAUAACUCCCCGAAAGGGGUGCUAAUACCGGAUAAUGUCUUCGGACCAAAGAUUUAUCGCCUUUGGGUGGGCCCGCGUUGGAUUAGCUAGUUGGUAGGGUAAAAGCCUACCAGGGCGACGAUCCAUAGCUGGUCUGAGAGGAUGAUCAGCCACACUGGGACUGAGACACGGCCCAGACUCCUACGGGAGGCAGCAGUGGGGAAUAUUGGACAAUGGGCGAAAGCCUGAUCCAGCAAUGCCGCGUGAGUGAUGAAGGCCUUAGGGUUGUAAAGCUCUUUUACCCGGGAUGAUAAUGACAGUACCGGGAGAAUAAGCUCCGGCUAACUCCGUG